Molecule: non-coding RNA, 117 nt
Filed under: Arthrobacter cupressi
Lineage: Bacteria; Bacillati; Actinomycetota; Actinomycetes; Micrococcales; Micrococcaceae
Also listed under: 1 other name
Description: SAM-IV sequence
Rfam family: SAM (S-adenosyl methionine) riboswitch aptamer
About the family: SAM-IV is a mRNA element that regulates gene expression via direct sensing of S-adenosylmethionine (SAM or AdoMet). SAM-IV riboswitches share conserved nucleotide positions with the previously described SAM-I riboswitches sequence analysis and molecular recognition experiments suggest that SAM-I and SAM-IV riboswitches share similar ligand binding sites, but have different scaffolds.
Source: RNAcentral
GGUCACGAGUGCCAGCGCUAAACCCCGGUUUGCUGGCCGGCAACCCUCCUUCCGUGGCGGGGUGCCCCGGGUGAAGACCUGGCCCGCCGAACAGCUGUCGGCGGGCAAGCACGAGGU